CCUACGGGGGGCUGCAGUGAGGAAUAUUGGUCAAUGGGCGUAAGCCUGAACCAGCCAUCCCGCGUGCAGGAAGAAGGCGCUAUGCGUCGUAAACUGCUUUUCCAGGGGAAGAAAACCCGAUACGUGUAUCGGCUUGCCGGUACCCUGGGAAUAAGCAUCGGCUAACUCCGUGCCAGCAGCCGCGGUAAUACGGAGGAUGCGAGCGUUAUCCGGAUUAAUGGGUGUGAAAGCGGAUGAAUAAGGAUUCGGUGAAAACCUUCAGCUUAACUGGAGACUUGCCAUUGAUACUGUUAGUCUUGAGUACGGUCAAGGUAGGCGGAAUGUGUAAUGUAGCGGUGAAAUGCUUAGAUAUUACACAGAACACCGAUUGCGAAGGCAGCUUACUGGGCCAUUACUGACGCUGAUGCACGAAAGCGUGGGGAGCGAACAGGAUUAGAUACCCUGGUAGUC
RNAcentral lists this ribosomal RNA (450 nucleotides) under uncultured bacterium. RNAcentral describes it as "partial 16S ribosomal RNA". It matches the Rfam family "Bacterial small subunit ribosomal RNA", at positions 338 to 795 of the family's 1533-position model. The record is from RNAcentral.